GUGUCAGCAGCCGCGGUAAGACGAACCGUGCAAACGUUAUUCGGAAUCACUGGGCUUAAAGGGCGCGUAGGCGGGUUCUCAAGUCAGGGGUGAAAUCCCACGGCUCAACCGUGGAAGUGCCUUUGAUACUGGGAAUCUUGAGGGAGGUAGGGGCGUGCGGAACUUCGGGUGGAGCGGUGAAAUGCGUAGAUAUCCGAAGGAACACCGGUGGCGAAAGCGGCGCGCUGGACCUCUGCUGACGCUGAGGCGCGAAAGCCAGGGGAGCAAACGGGAUUAGAAACCCGCGUAGUCC
This 292-nucleotide ribosomal RNA is filed under the name uncultured bacterium. Its description in RNAcentral is "partial 16S ribosomal RNA". It matches the Rfam family "Bacterial small subunit ribosomal RNA", at positions 505 to 796 of the family's 1533-position model. The record is from RNAcentral.